This 253-nucleotide ribosomal RNA is filed under the name uncultured bacterium. RNAcentral describes it as "partial 16S ribosomal RNA". It matches the Rfam family "Bacterial small subunit ribosomal RNA", at positions 524 to 776 of the family's 1533-position model. The record is from RNAcentral.
AACGUAGGAGACAAACGUUAUCCGGAGUUACUGGGCGUAAAGGGCGUGUAGGUGGUUAUGUAAGUCUGGCGUGAAAUUUUUCGGCUUAACCGGGAAAGGUCGUCGGAUACUACAAGACUUGAGGACGGUAGAGGCGUGUGGAAUUCCGGGUGUAGUGGUGAAAUGCGUAGAGAUCCGGAGGAACACCAGUGGCGAAGGCGACACGCUGGGCCGUACCUGACACUGAGGCGCGAUAGCAUGGGGAGCAAACAGG